GGUCAACUUCCCAAAUCCCAAUGAACAGCACUGUUGUGAUUUUUUUCAGAUGCAGUGUCUCAGCCCAGGGUGAAUUACUUCUGCCAGCACAAUAAGAAUGUUGAAUUCCACUGCUCAGUACAAAAUGGUGACUACCUUAUGUUCGAAUGGAGUUUAAAUGGAAACACACUAGAUGGUAAAAAAGCCUCCUCUGGAAACAAAACCUCUGUACUAGCCUUGAACAAGAUGAUCUCUGGAAAUGUAAUCUGUAUUGUUAGAAACAAUAUCAGUAAAAGUCAGAGUAAACCUCUCUCAUUUACCUGUGCAGGUGUGUUUGGUGGAAUUAUCUGGUACCUGAUUGGAGGCAUUGGCACCACUGUGCUGUUGAUCAUUAUUGCAGUGUCUGUUCUACGUUGCUGCCUUCCAAAGCCACAAUCCCAACCAGAUGUUGAAAAGUUAGAUUCUGAGCACACGCAGGAUGUCCCAAGCCCAUCUUCAGUUUUACAGAGAAAGACAAGUGUGGUGUACACUUCAAUCAAGAUCCAAAGAAAAAUGAACUGAACUGGAUUAAUUCAGGAGAUGAUUUACUUUAAUGUAUUGUUUGUCUGUUUGCUUUUUUUAAACUUAUAAAUGAAACAUUAACACAUGACAGGAAGUGCGUUGGAUGUGUGCAGCAUCAUGCCUCAGGUGGGUUCAAAGUUCGGACAUAAGGUAAAGUGGCCCAGUAUCCUUACCCAUGGAGUUCUGCAGGAUAGCAAGUAUCAGAGCCCUAUCAAACAGCAGGACUUAAAAA
Molecule: long non-coding RNA, 772 nt
Organism: Polyodon spathula (Mississippi paddlefish)
Lineage: Eukaryota; Metazoa; Chordata; Actinopteri; Acipenseriformes; Polyodontidae
Exons: 3
Source: RefSeq, a predicted model, not a curated record